RNAcentral lists this ribosomal RNA (433 nucleotides) under uncultured bacterium. RNAcentral describes it as "partial 16S ribosomal RNA". It matches the Rfam family "Bacterial small subunit ribosomal RNA", at positions 29 to 507 of the family's 1533-position model. The record is from RNAcentral.
AACGAACGCUGGCGGCAUGCCUAACACAUGCAAGUCGAACGAGACCUUCGGGUCUAGUUGCGCACGGGUGCGUAACGCGUGGGAACCUGCCCUUAGGUUCGGAAUAACUCCCCGAAAGGGGUGCUAAUACCGGAUAAUGUCUUCGGACCAAAGAUUUAUCGCCUUUGGAUGGGCCCGCGUUGGAUUCGCUAGUUGGUAGGGUAAAAGCCUACCAAGGCGACGAUCCAUAGCUGGUCUGAGAGGAUGAUCAGCCACACUGGGACUGAGACACGGCCCAGACUCCUACGGGAGGCAGCAGUGGGGAAUAUUGGACAAUGGGCGAAAGCCUGAUCCAGCAAUGCCGCGUGAGUGAUGAAGGCCUUAGGGUUGUAAAGCUCUUUUACCCGGGAUGAUAAUGACAGUACCGGGAGAAUAAGCUCCGGCUAACUCCGUG